This 62-nucleotide small nucleolar RNA is filed under the name Microcebus murinus (gray mouse lemur). RNAcentral describes it as "Small nucleolar RNA SNORA73 family (ENSMICG00000046756.1)". The record is from RNAcentral. Lineage: Eukaryota; Metazoa; Chordata; Mammalia; Primates; Cheirogaleidae.
CUGCAUAUUCCUACAAUUUCUCAGAGUCCUGUGGACAAUGACUGGGGAGAUAAACCAUGCAG